AUUGAACGCUGGCGGCAGGCCUAACACAUGCAAGUCGAGCGGAUGAAGGGAGCUUGCUCCUGGAUUCAGCGGCGGACGGGUGAGUAAUGCCUAGGAAUCUGCCUGGUAGUGGGGGAUAACGUCCGGAAACGGGCGCUAAUACCGCAUACGUCCUGAGGGAGAAAGUGGGGGAUCUUCGGACCUCACGCUAUUAGAUGAGCCUAGGUCGAUUAGCUAGUUGGUGGGGUAAAGGCCUACCAAGGCGACGAUCCGUAACUGGUCUGAGAGGAUGAUCAGUCACACUGGAACUGAGACACGGUCCAGACUCCUACGGGAGGCAGCAGUGGGGAAUAUUGGACAAUGGGCGAAAGCCUGAUCCAGCCAUGCCGCGUGUGUGAAGAAGGUCUUCGGAUUGUAAAGCACUUUAAGUUGGGAGGAAGGGCAGUAAGUUAAUACCUUGCUGUUUUGACGUUACCAACAGAAUAAGCACCGGCUAACUUCGUG
RNAcentral lists this ribosomal RNA (483 nucleotides) under uncultured bacterium. RNAcentral describes it as "partial 16S ribosomal RNA". It matches the Rfam family "Bacterial small subunit ribosomal RNA", at positions 30 to 507 of the family's 1533-position model. The record is from RNAcentral.